Molecule: long non-coding RNA, 1017 nt
Organism: Amphiprion ocellaris (clown anemonefish)
Lineage: Eukaryota; Metazoa; Chordata; Actinopteri; Pomacentridae
Source: Ensembl
CCAUGCAAGUCGUACUUGCUCUCUGAUUAGUUUCCAUGAAAUGUUUGCGUCUCUCUGUGUCAUUGAUUUACAGAGUGAAUCGAGCAACACUUUAAUGGUUUUCCACACGACUCUCUUUCUUUGCAGUGAUCGAUAGACUCUUCAUACAGAGACCCUGCUCUCCAAUACAGCUGUAAAGACCAGGGACAACUCAUUAGAGACAGGGUUCAAAACAUGCUAGUAAAGUGGGGAGUCUGUGGACCAAAUGUGUGUCGUGUGAAGCUGGUGACAGGUGUGGUGUAUUACAAUCAGCAGACGAGGUUCAGGUGGGAGCUGCCUGAUUGGUCUUCUGGCGUCUCCAUAAAAGCAGUCUGCACUCGUCAUUUGAAGCUGGACCGUCGUCUUAUCUCCAGUCAGUACUGGGAGUAGAACUGUCUUUGUCACCAGCCUAGAGUUUCUAGUAAUUCUGUUUUCUGUGUUUAGAAAGCUGAUUCCUGCCUGCUGAGUUGCCUGGGUUCCUUUGUCUGCUGGUUCUCCGCUCUGCCACCGAUUCUGCUUCCUUCUCCAGAGGAUCUCCACCUGUCGCCAGCUUUAACCUGGGAACAUCGGCUUACACCUUCUCUGGAAACACCUACCACGACCGGAUUCACAGACGCCAACCUACCAAUCGCAUGGCGAACACCUGGAGGGAGAGUUCUAGAUGAAGUCAAACCUAAGGACUGUUUCUCAGCUCAUCAGCUGAGUCUCCAAGCCCUAGUAUCACCAGACUGUUUGUAUUGUUAAUACGUCGAAUUAAAUAAUUAGUGUUCCGUAUUUAACUUAGUGUGUUUUAUGCUUUGCAUAAGAUAGUUUUAGUCUGGGGUUUCAGCUCAGAAUUACUGGUAGUCUAGGCUGGGUUAGUUUUGUAUUUCAGUUGUUUUCCUGCUUUGGUGUUACCAUCUGUGGGUUAACUGUAGUUUUCAGUUGUAGUUAUUCCUGGUUUCUAGUUCCACUUCAUGUACAAAAUCUUUGGUAUGGUAAAUAAAGCAUUGUUAAAAC